UGCUCAGGAUGAACGCUGGCGGCGUGCCUAAUACAUGCAAGUCGAGCGAACAGACGAGGAGCUUGCUCCUUUGACGUUAGCGGCGGACGGGUGAGUAACACGUAGGUAACCUACCUAUAAGACUGGGAUAACUUCGGGAAACCGGAGCUAAUACCGGAUAAUAUUUCGAACCGCAUGGUUCGAUAGUGAAAGAUGGCUUUGCUAUCACUUAUAGAUGGACCUGCGCCGUAUUAGCUAGUUGGUAAGGUAACGGCUUACCAAGGCAACGAUACGUAGCCGACCUGAGAGGGUGAUCGGCCACACUGGAACUGAGACACGGUCCAGACUCCUACGGGAGGCAGCAGUAGGGAAUCUUCCGCAAUGGGCGAAAGCCUGACGGAGCAACGCCGCGUGAGUGAUGAAGGUCUUCGGAUCGUAAAACUCUGUUAUUAGGGAAGAACAAACGUGUAAGUAACUGUGCACGUCUUGACGGUACCUAAUCAGAAAGCCACGGCUAACUACGUGCCAGCAGCCGCGGUAAUACGUAGGUGGCAAGCGUUAUCCGGAAUUAUUGGGCGUAAAGCGCGCGUAGGCGGUUUUUUAAGUCUGAUGUGAAAGCCCACGGCUCAACCGUGGAGGGUCAUUGGAAACUGGAAAACUUGAGUGCAGAAGAGGAAAGUGGAAUUCCAUGUGUAGCGGUGAAAUGCGCAGAGAUAUGGAGGAACACCAGUGGCGAAGGCGACUUUCUGGUCUGUAACUGACGCUGAUGUGCGAAAGCGUGGGGAUCAAACAGGAUUAGAUACCCUGGUAGUCCACGCCGUAAACGAUGAGUGCUAAGUGUUAAGGGGGUUUCCGCCCCUUAGUGCUGCAGCUAACGCAUUAAGCACUCCGCCUGGGGGAGUACGACCGCAAGGUUGAAUAG
Molecule: ribosomal RNA, 901 nt
Filed under: bacterium 128
Lineage: Bacteria
Description: bacterial SSU rRNA
Rfam family: Bacterial small subunit ribosomal RNA
Source: RNAcentral